Molecule: non-coding RNA, 166 nt
Filed under: human gut metagenome
Description: Lysine riboswitch
Rfam family: Lysine riboswitch aptamer
About the family: Riboswitches are metabolite binding domains within certain messenger RNAs that serve as precision sensors for their corresponding targets.
Source: RNAcentral
AUGAUAGAGGUCGCGAUAUUAAUAAGUAGUUCUGUGGAGGUAAGCACGUUGAAGCAAAACAAAAGGUAAUAUUGCCGAAAUAUACAAGUGAAGCUUUAAGCUUGUAUGUUGGGGUUAUACAUAAUAUGUAUAACACUGUCACAAUAAUUUGUGGAGUACUAUCUUU